This is a long non-coding RNA of Equus asinus (donkey), 1883 nucleotides long. NCBI's taxonomy places the organism in Eukaryota, Metazoa, Chordata, Mammalia, Perissodactyla, Equidae. The record is from Ensembl.
CUUCCUCUCAGGAUCUGUGAGGGAGGCGAGAGCUGCAGCGUCUUGGUUGGUAGGCAUGAGGGGUGUAUUGCUUUGAAGCAAUGCUUGGCUGCUGUAACCAAGAGACCCAGUCGUAAUUGAGCAGCUUACAUGAGAUAGGUGUUUACUCGUCACAGUUUGAGGUGAGUCAGAGGGACCCGAGUUCCUGCCACUAGGCCUUGGUUUUGUCUUACAGGGCUGGGCUGCCAUGGCUCCAGCCCCAGGAAAGGAAAAGGGAGCAUAGAGAAGGCACACCCACAUGCCCUGAGGCUCAGGCUUGGAUGUGGCACCCCUCAGGAGGGGUUGGGGUGCAGGUGGACGGAGUCUCUGCUGAGAGCUGCCCCAUGAGUGUGGGGCCUGGACUACUUUCUGGCCGGUGUGGUACAGUGGACGAGCUGAGUCUGUUCCUCUCUUAGCACGAGAAGGGGCUGACGGCAGAAGCACUCUGAGCAAGGGUGUGGUGGCAUCUUUCCCCACCUCCUUGUAAGUGAUGGCCCCCAUCCACCCCCAUCCUUGCACCAACGUGGGCUGCAAGAGGCUGAAAUGCUCUUUCACACUUAUUAUGAAAAGAAAACAUCAUACGGGGGAAUGGACCUCCUAAACAGGGCUGCCAGGCUCAGGAAGGGAGUAACCGUCCAUGGAGCACAGACCACUACUUGCAGUCAGCAGCAAAGGAGAUGUCCCUCACAGGCAGGAGUGGGGGUGCCUGGGUUCCAUCACUGGGCCCCAGUCGGCUCGGAGCCAGCCUGCUCUUCCCCAGGGCUGUUGCUGCAUAGAUGGGCCCGUCGGGUCACAUGUGUGCUGAUCGUGUGCCAUUGGCCACCUCUGCAGAGCCAGUGGAUCGGUUUGCACAGCAUAUUUCCCCACUGCUGCCACCCCCACAGUCAACAUGCACACUUCAUCAGGAGCUGACCGCUGGGCAAGCCAGAGCCGACAGUUUCAGCCCACCCCAAACAUAACCUAAUGCCCCCCUCUAUUUUUAAGGAUUAAAUCAAUGCAUAAAACACUCGCAUGAUUCAGAGGGCAUGAUAUAGCUUAUCCACUUUUUCCUUCAUGUCAUCAGCUUGGCAUUUCUUUAAACAAUGAAACUAUAUUCUUUCUUUUAUGUGAAACGGCCUCAGAGACCUUGACUUGCCGUCAGAGGACCUGGCUCUCUUGGGGUCUCCACGAAGAACUCAUCCUGGCUGCAAACAGUUCUCUCCUCGACUCUCUCCUACGAAAGGAGCAUUCUGGGCCCCAAGUACUCUGCGGUGUUUUCUCCUUGGAGGACAGAGUGGCAGAAGGUCUCUUUCCUGUUAGUCCCCAAAGGUGGAGAGAAGGAUGUCAGAGCUUGGAAGAGGGUGCAGGAUGCCACUCCCGACCUCACUUCCCUGCCUCCUGUGCCCAGGCAAGCUCCAAGCUGGAAAGGACCUGCUAGCCUGGUGGCAUGCGAUGGCCUUGGUUCUGUGAUGCUUGGGUGAGAAGAAUAGCUCACUGAUAGUCUUCCAGUAACUGCAUCAUUCAGCCAUUCAACAAACACUCUUCAGGUAAGAGAAACCCUAAGCGGCCAUCAGAUCUAUCUCAAGGUCAAACUUUCUCCAAAGACUCUUGCCUGCCCCGUCCCUCAAGCCCUGGAGAAACAGAUUGCAGAUUCUUUGGGUCCCCUGGGCUUCUCAGUGUGACAUCUGAGACUGUCCUCCCCUCUUCCAAUCUGAGUCCCACCCACUGCAAUCUUAUUUCGUCUUAGUGCCUCCUCCCCAGCUGACUUGGGGCUGUAAGUCCUCCAGCCUGGGAGGGGAGUUGUGUUAACACUUUGCUCUGUCGUUUCCCCAAAAUUCACUGCUAUAUAAUUAGCAAUCAUCAGAUUGUUGUUUAUUGAAGAUGGA